UGUGGCACUUGACCCAAGCAAAGUC
RNAcentral lists this unclassified non-coding RNA (25 nucleotides) under Mus musculus (house mouse). RNAcentral describes it as "oocyte_clustered_small_RNA3115". Lineage: Eukaryota; Metazoa; Chordata; Mammalia; Rodentia; Muridae. The record is from RNAcentral.